Clarias gariepinus (North African catfish) is the source of this 281-nucleotide long non-coding RNA. RefSeq lists it as uncharacterized. The transcript is spliced from 3 exons. The record is from RefSeq and is a predicted model, not a curated record. NCBI's taxonomy places the organism in Eukaryota, Metazoa, Chordata, Actinopteri, Siluriformes, Clariidae.
UAUUUUUGGACUGUGGGGGGAAAGCAGCCUACCCAAGCAUGAGGAGAAGAAUGUCAUGUGAGACUGGAGGCGAGGCUCAAACUCCAAACCCCGGAAUUGCUUGAAAGGCUGGGUCACUGGAGCAUAUCCCAGGAGACUUAGGGCAUGAGACGAGUGGGAGGAAACCGGAGUUCCCGGAGGAAACUCACCAAGCACAGGGAGAACAUGGAAACUCUAUGCACACAGAGCCAAGGCGGGAAUUAAACCCGGAUUCAAGGUGACAAUGCUAACCAUUAAGCCAU